UGAUUGUGUUUGAUGGUGUGAGGUGGCGUAUGAUUGUGUUUGACGGUGUGUGGUGGUGUUUGAUGGUAUGAGGUGGUGUAUGAUUGUGUUUGAUGGUAUGAGGUGGCGUAUGAUUGUGUUUGAUGGUAUGAGGUGGCGUGUGAUUGUGUUUGAUGGUAUGAGGUGGCGUAUGAUUGUGUUUGACGGUAUGAGGUGGCGUAUGAUUGUGUUUGACGGUAUGAGGUGGCGUAUGAUUGUGUUUGAUGGUAUGAGGUGGCGUAUGAUUGUGUUUGAUGGUAUGAGGUGGAGUAUGAUUGUGUUUGACGGUAUGAGGUGGCGUAUGAUUGUGUUUGAUUGUGUGAGGUGGCUUAUGAUUGUGUUUGAUGGUGUGUGGUGGUGUUUUACGGUAUGAG
Ictalurus punctatus (channel catfish) is the source of this 392-nucleotide long non-coding RNA. NCBI's taxonomy places the organism in Eukaryota, Metazoa, Chordata, Actinopteri, Siluriformes, Ictaluridae. The record is from Ensembl.